Small nuclear RNA from Cervus hanglu yarkandensis (Yarkand deer), 101 nucleotides. The record is from Ensembl. Lineage: Eukaryota; Metazoa; Chordata; Mammalia; Artiodactyla; Cervidae.
GUGGUCACUUUGACAGCAUAUAUACUAAAUUUGGAACGUACAGAGAAGAUUAGCAUGGCCUCUGUGCAAGCACACAAAUUUCUGAAGCAUUCCAUACUUUU